AGGGCGCAUGGCGGAUGCCUUGGCUCUCGGAGGCGAUGAAGGACGUGAUAAGCUGCGAUAAGCUUUGGGGAGGUGCAAAUGACCUUUGAUCCAGAGAUUUCCGAAUGGGACAACCCAAUAUCUUGAAGAGGUAUUAUCUUACUAUGUAAGAGGCUAACGCAGGGAACUGAAACAUCUUAGUACCUGCAGGAAAAGAAAAUAAACAAUGAUUCCCCCAGUAGUGGCGAGCGAACGGGGAACAGCCCAAACCAUCCAUGUUACGGCAUGUGUGGGGUUGUAGGACUACGCCAUUGCAUGAAGACAUCAGAGAAGAACUUUCUGGAAAGAAAGACCAUAGAGCAUGACAGUUGCGUAUUCGAAUGUUGUCGAAGCAUAGUAGUAUCCUGAGUAGCGCGGAGCACGAGGAAUUCUGCGUGAAUCUGCCGGGACCAUCCGGUAAGGCUAAAUACUCCCGAGAGACCGAUAGCGAACCAGUACCGUGAGGGAAAGGUGAAAAGCACUUCGAACAGAAGAGUGAAAUAGUUCCUGAAACCGUGCGCCUACAAGCGGUCGGAGCUCGUUAAUGAGUGACGGCGUGCCUUUUGCAUAAUGAACCUACGAGUUGCCUUUGCCGGCAAGGUUAAGUGUGACGACACACGUAUCCGAAGCGAAAGCGAGUCUGAACAGGGCGUAUAGUCGGCAGUGGCAGACGCGAAACCAAGUGAUCUACCCUUGGCCAGGUUGAAGGCUGGGUAACACCAGCUGGAGGACCGCACCAAUAAGCGUUGAAAAGCUUCUGGAUGAGCUGAGGGUAGGGGUGAAAGGCUAAUCAAACUUGGAGAUAGCUCGUACUCCCCGAAAUGCAUUUAGGUGCAGCCUUGCGGGUUACUGAUGUGAGGUAGAGCGACUGAUAAGAUGCGAGGGCUUCACCGCCUAUCAAGUCUUGACAAACUCCGAAUGCGCAUCAGUUCUACCGCAGGAGUGAGGGCAUGGGUGCUAAGGUCCGUGCCCGAGAGGAGAAGAAUCCGGACCACCUGCUAAGGUCCCGAAAUGACAGCUAAGUUAAACUAACGAAGUCUGACUGCUAAGACAGCUAGGAUGUUGGCUUGGAAGCAGCCAUUCAUUUAAAGAGUGCGUAACAGCUCACUAGUCGAGGAGUCGGGCGUGGAUAAUAAUCGGGUAUCAAGUUGUCUACCGAAGCAGUGGGAUCAUUUAUAUGAUCGGUAGGGGAGCAUUCCAGUCAGCGUCGAAGGCGUACCGUGAGGUAUUCUGGAGCGUCUGGAAAAGCAAAUGUAGGUAUAAGUAACGAUAAAGGGGGCGGGAAACCCCCUCGCCGAAAGACUAAGGUUUCCUGAUCAACGCUAAUCGGAUCAGGGUCAGUCGGGUCCUAAGGCUCAGCCGAACGGCGAUGCCGAUGGCAGAAACGGUUAAUAUUCCGUUACUACCUUCAGGAGUGACGUGGAGACGCAGUAGUGACAGUGCCGCCAUCUGACGGAAUAGAUGGUUGAAGGGUGUAGGAGUCGAUCAUGGCAGGCAAAUCCACCAUGAGAUCCGAACCUGACAGUAUGCCGCGUCCUUCGGGACAAGGCAAUAGUGCGCGUAAGCAUGCUGCCGAGAAAAUCCGCUAAACUUAAUCCUGCAGGUACCCGUACCGCAAACGGACACACGUAGUCGGGAUGAAUAUUCUAAGGCGCUUGAGUGAUUCACGGUUAAGGAACUAGGCAAACUGACCCUGUAACUUCGGGAUAAAGGGUCCCUACCCUUUUAUGGGAGGGCGCAGAGAAUCGGUCCAGGCAACUGUUUAACAAAAACACAGGGCUGUGCCAAAUCGAAAGAUCCAGUAUACAGCCUGACACCUGCCCGGUGCUGGAAGGUUAAGAGGAGAUGUCAUCGAUAAGAGAAGCGUUGAAUUGAAGCCCCAGUAAACGGCGGCCGUAACUAUAACGGUCCUAAGGUAGCGAAAUUCCUUGUCGGGUAAGUUCCGACCUGCACGAAUGGUGUAAUGAUCUGGACGCUGUCUCAACCGUGAGCUCAGUGAAAUUGUAGUAUCGGUGAAGAUGCCGAUUACCCGCGAUGGGACGAAAAGACCCCGUGAACCUUUACUAUAGCUUAUCAUUGAAUCUGGGCACGUGAUGUGUAGGAUAGGUCGGAGGCUUUGAAGCAGGUACGCCAGUAUUUGUGGAGCCGCUGUUGAAAUACGACCCUUUAUUUGUUUGGAUUCUAACCCGUGGAUACGGGGACAUUGAUUGGUGGGUAGUUUGACUGGGGUGGUCGCCUCCAAAAGCGUAACGGAGGCUUCUAAAGGUGCCCUCCGGCCGAUUGGUAACCGGCCUUAGAGUGUAAUGGCAUAAGGGCGCUUGACUGGGAGACUGACAAGUCGAUCAGGUAGGAAACUAGAGCAUAGUGAUCCGGUGUUUCCGUAUGGAAGGGACAUCGCUCAAAGGAUAAAAGGUACUCCGGGGAUAACAGGCUGAUCCCUCCCAAGAGCUCAUAUCGACGGAGUGGUUUGGCACCUCGAUGUCGGCUCGUCACAUCCUGGGGCUGGAGAAGGUCCCAAGGGUUGGGCUGUUCGCCCAUUAAAGUGGCACGCGAGCUGGGUUCAGAACGUCGUGAGACAGUUCGGUCUCUAUCUAUCGUGGGCGUAUGAAAUUUGCGUGGCUCUGACACUAGUACGAGAGGACCGUGUUGGACAGACCU
RNAcentral lists this ribosomal RNA (2676 nucleotides) under human gut metagenome. Its description in RNAcentral is "bacterial LSU rRNA". It matches the Rfam family "Bacterial large subunit ribosomal RNA". The record is from RNAcentral.